This 125-nucleotide small RNA is filed under the name Marmota monax (woodchuck). Lineage: Eukaryota; Metazoa; Chordata; Mammalia; Rodentia; Sciuridae. The record is from RNAcentral.
GCCGGGCACAGGGGUGCGUGCCUGUAAUCCCAGCAGCUCAGGAGGCUGAGGCAGGAGGAUAGAGAGUUCAAAGCCAGCCUCAGCAAAAGUGAAGCGCUAAGCAACUCAGUGAGACCCUGUCUCUA